CAAAGUGUAGCCAAAUAGUCAAGGCCUCUUACUUACACUAAGACUACUAUCUGUGCAAAUCAGAUCUCUUUGC
Molecule: transfer RNA, 73 nt
Filed under: Balanoglossus clavigerus
Lineage: Eukaryota; Metazoa; Hemichordata; Enteropneusta; Ptychoderidae
Description: transfer RNA-Val
Source: RNAcentral